RNAcentral lists this ribosomal RNA (301 nucleotides) under uncultured bacterium. RNAcentral's name for it is "partial 16S ribosomal RNA". It matches the Rfam family "Bacterial small subunit ribosomal RNA", at positions 509 to 807 of the family's 1533-position model. The record is from RNAcentral.
CAGUCGCCGCGGUAAUACAGAGGGUGCGAGCGUUAAUCGGAUUUACUGGGCGUAAAGCGUGCGUAGGCGGCUUUUUAAGUCGGAUGUGAAAUCCCUGAGCUUAACUUAGGAAUUGCAUUCGAUACUGGGAAGCUAGAGUAUGGGAGAGGAUGGUAGAAUUCCAGGUGUAGCGGUGAAAUGCGUAGAGAUCUGGAGGAAUACCGAUGGCGAAGGCAGCCAUCUGGCCUAAUACUGACGCUGAGGUACGAAAGCGUGGGGAGCAAACAGGAUUAGAUACCCCCGUAGUCCCUGUCUCUUAUAC